This is a non-coding RNA of Leptonychotes weddellii (Weddell seal), 1720 nucleotides long. The record is from RefSeq and is a predicted model, not a curated record. NCBI's taxonomy places the organism in Eukaryota, Metazoa, Chordata, Mammalia, Carnivora, Phocidae.
CUGGAGAAAGAGCUGGAGCAAAAUGGAAGGAUCUGAGGAGAUGAAAUACACACGAGAAAUAGAAAAGUUUCAAAAAGGAGAAGGCAAGGAUGAAGAAAAGUACAUCGAUGUGGUGAUUAAUAAGAACAUGAAGCUGGGACAGAAAGUGUUAAUCCCUGUAAAGCAGUUCCCUAAGUUCAACUUUGUGGGGAAACUUUUGGGUCCCCGUGGCAAUUCUCUGAAGCGUUUACAAGAAGAAACCUUGACCAAAAUGUCCAUCCUUGGGAAAGGUUCCAUGCGAGACAAGGCAAAGGAAGAAGAGUUGAGGAAAAGUGGAGAAGCCAAGUACUUUCACCUCAACGAUGACCUGCAUGUUCUCAUUGAAGUCUUCGCUCCACCAGCAGAAGCAUAUGCCCGGAUGGGACACGCACUGGAAGAAAUCAAAAAGUUCCUCAUUCCUGACUAUAAUGACGAAAUCAGGCAAGCACAGCUCCAAGAAUUAACAUACUUGAACGGUGGUUCAGAAAAUGCAGAUGUACCCAUUGUUCGAGGGAAACCCACCUUGCGUACAAGAGGUGUACCAACCCCAGCAAUAACCAGGGGAAGGGGAGGAGUCACAGCCCGGCCAGUUGGAGUUGGUGUACCACGAGGGACGCCAGCUUCCAGGGGAGUCCUUUCCGCCCGAGGGCCAGUGAGUCGGGGAAGAGGACUUCUCACUCCCAGAGCAAGAGGAGUUCCCCCAACUGGGUACAGACCUCCGCCACCACCCCCAACACAAGAGACCUAUGGAGAUUAUGACUAUGAUGAUGGAUAUGGCACUGCUUAUGAUGAACAGAGUUACGAUUCCUAUGAUAACAGCUAUAGCGCCCCUGCCCAAAGUGGUGCUGAUUACUAUGAUUAUGGACAUGGACUCAGUGAAGAGACAUACGAUUCCUACGGGCAAGAGGACUGGACUAACUCGAGACACAAGGCACCUGCAGCGAGGACCACGAAGGGCGUCUACAGAGACCAGCCCUACGGCAGAUACUGAUUGUACUGUCUGGUGUUGUGAAAUAGCCAGUCUCCACCAGUCCUGUGUACUGUUCAAAGAAAUGUCAGCCAUCUUGGGAAGUCGGAGGAACUGGUUGUGCCCGAGGAGCAAACAAAGGGGCUUUCCUUCGAAUUACGGACUGCUUACGAAUCGUCAACUCACCAACGUGCCUAGUCAGUAAAUGAAUUCACUUGGGAGCUUGAAAAUCAUCUGAAUUUCUUUCCACAAUUUUAUGUCCUGUGAAAUGUUUUAUAAAAUGGUACGCUUUUGAAUUUGGAAAGCCUGUUUAAAAAAAGGAAAGAAAAUCAAUCUUAUUUUGUGGUCUCCUAACAACAACAAACAAAUGAUUUGUGUGAUACUUAAUAAAGACUGCCCAUUUCAACCUCCUGCACUUUGCUAUAAACCUAGAAAAACAAAGUCUUGUUAUUUCAGCAAGCUCUAAAUUUUGCACACUUGAGAACCAUCUAUGGCUUCAACUCACUGCAAGAAGUCCGGAUUCCAUACAUAGUCCAGAUUUGAAAAUGAUUUAUCUGUCUCAGUUAUGGACCAAUAAAUAUGGACGUGUCCCACCAAAAGUAUUCUGUCACAUAAAAGGUUAAUCACGAAGGCUUCUGCAGGAAGCAGAGUGGUACUGCCAGAAAAGAAAGCUGAUUUUCAUGCCUCUCUGUAAUUUGUUAUGGAACAUAAAGGUCAUAAUCCCCGUGGACAGUA